This 492-nucleotide ribosomal RNA is filed under the name uncultured bacterium. RNAcentral describes it as "partial 16S ribosomal RNA". It matches the Rfam family "Bacterial small subunit ribosomal RNA", at positions 29 to 507 of the family's 1533-position model. The record is from RNAcentral.
AGUGAACGCUGGCGGUAGGCCUAACACAUGCAAGUCGAACGGCAGCACAGUAAGAGCUUGCUCUUACGGGUGGCGAGUGGCGGACGGGUGAGGAAUACAUCGGAAUCUACUUUUUCGUGGGGGAUAACGUAGGGAAACUUACGCUAAUACCGCAUGCGACCUACGGGUGAAAGCAGGGGAUCUUCGGACCUUGCGCGAUUGAAUGAGCCGAUGUCGAAUUAGCUAGUUGGCGGGGUAAAGGCCCACCAAGGCGACGAUCCGUAGCUGGUCUGAGAGGAUGAUCAGCCACACUGGAACUGAGACACGGUCCAGACUCCUACGGGAGGCAGCAGUGGGGAAUAUUGGACAAUGGGCGCAAGCCUGAUCCAGCCAUACCGCGUGGGUGAAGAAGGCCUUCGGGUUGUAAAGCCCUUUUGUUGGGAAAGAAAAGCAGCAGGUUAAUACCCCGCUGUUCUGACGGUACCCAAAGAAUAAGCACCGGCUAACUUCGUG